UCUCUUUCUGAUUAUAAUAAAUGUUGUUUAAUGAUCGUUAUUCUAUUUAAUGCUUUACAAAAGGUGGUCAAAAAUUCCUCCAUCGACUUCGACACA
Long non-coding RNA from Mycetomoellerius zeteki, 96 nucleotides. RefSeq lists it as uncharacterized. Lineage: Eukaryota; Metazoa; Arthropoda; Insecta; Hymenoptera; Formicidae. The transcript is spliced from 3 exons. The record is from RefSeq and is a predicted model, not a curated record.